RNAcentral lists this small RNA (435 nucleotides) under Pongo abelii (Sumatran orangutan). RNAcentral's name for it is "processed transcript". The record is from RNAcentral. Lineage: Eukaryota; Metazoa; Chordata; Mammalia; Primates; Hominidae.
AUCCUUGGGGCCAGGGACCCCAGUGGGGCCGGUACAUCUCCCUGCCCCGGCCUCUACACCCUGGAGGGACGGCAGGAGGGCUCUGUGCAGUUUGAGAGAACACCCAUACGCAGGAAGUGACCUCAACAUCACCGAGAGGGCGCCUGGAAUGCGAGCCCACACCUUAACCGUGCUCUUCAUCCUCACCUGUACACUUGGCUACGUGACGCUGCUGGAGGAAACACCUCAGGACACGGCCUACAACACCAAGAGCUUACUGGAGGUUUUGGCUCUGCGUGAGUGUGGUCUACGAGCUGUUUCUCAUCUUUAUACUCUUCCAGACUGUCCAGGACGGCCGGCAGUUUCUGAAGUAUGUUGACCCCAAGCUGGGAGUCCCACUGCCAGAGAGAGACUACGGGGGAAAUUGCCUCAUCUACGACCCAGACAAUGAGACUG